RNA transcript from Helianthus annuus (common sunflower), 1894 nucleotides. RefSeq lists it as uncharacterized. The transcript has 7 exons. NCBI's taxonomy places the organism in Eukaryota, Viridiplantae, Streptophyta, Magnoliopsida, Asterales, Asteraceae. The record is from RefSeq and is a predicted model, not a curated record.
GUCAAGCUAGAGUGUUUCAGCAGGGUGUCACAGUCUCCGGCGAAGAUCCGAUAAGUAUUGUAUUGUACUGCAUGUUAAAUUUUCAGUUAGAUCUGCUCUUGGUAUGUUGUUUGAGACUAUUUUUGGUAAUACAUAAUUUCGGCAAGAAUCCGGACCAAGGUUCGAUGAACGAAAGUCUACCUUCAUGUCUUGGAUAAUAAUCUGGGUAUAAUUUUGGUAGAUCGGGUAUGGAGCUCAUGGGAUGCCUCCGCAAAACAGUGUGGAAAUGAUAACACAAUCACAGAUUUGUUGAUUCACACUCAAAUUUCACAUAUUUUUUUUAUUGAUUUGCAGGCGAACGAGUCUCUGGAGACGGUGGAGUUGCAGCGGUAGACGACGCCAAACCGGCCUCUGCUCGGUGAGUUUAUAGUCGUUGUUUAGAAGCUCCUUCAACCUUCAUGUUGUUGUUAGGGUUAGGGUUAAUUGUAACUAUUUGUUGAAGUCAUGUGGGUUUUAUAACAGAAAUUAUGGGUGUUUUGGUUAAGAUUCGCGUGUAUUCGUAUUCGAGAAGUUGAAAAGGAUAUUUGGUGUAUGAUGGAAUCACUUUGUUCAUCGAAAGGCUUCUCUUUACUUCUUUCUUCAUGUCAACUAUUGGAUUUGAAGAUAUAAAUUUAAAAUUGAAGACCGUGGAUGGUAAUUCAUCAUUAACAGCUGCGGUACUGUACCGGAGAGUUGAGCCGCUCACCAUCCGAUUCGGAUCGUCGAAAGGAAUACACCGGAGUUGAGAACCGACAUCUCCGGUUGAUGCGUUCACCGAUACAGCGUUUAAAGGCAAUCCGGCAGUCGUUUGCUGGUUAGACAACAUAUCGAAAGCCGAUAAGUGGAUGCAAUGGGUUACGACCGAGUUUAACCUUCCGACCACCGGUUUUUUAUCGGCUGAUCACCGUACAGAAAAACUAAGAUUCAACCUCCGUUGGUUCACUUGUGUAUCGAAAGUUGAUAAUUUAACGUGCUGGUUUCUAUACAUGAAACUAGACCACUAGAACAUAAUUUGUGAAUAAUUAAUUUUGUUAUUUUUUUAUGUUAGGUUCCGCUUUGUGGUCAUGCAACUUUAGCAGCUUCACACUUUGUGUUUGAGUCUGGAUAAGUGGAUUCUAACUCGGUUGAGUUCUCAACUCUGUCUGGAGUUUUGACUGAUAACCGGAUUCCGACUAACGAGAUCAAUGAUUCGGAACAUGGGCUUUACAUAGAGUUGGAUUUUCUGGUUGGGAGGGUUUCUGUUUUUAAAGAUGUUGAGGUUUCUGUGGUUUCGGAGAUGUUAAAUGGUGUUCCGGUUGUUGAUGUUUUGAUGAAGAACGCAUUUGAUGAUAUUGUUCAGGUGGUGCUUUCAUCAGCGGAAGAAGUUGCGGAUUUCAAGCCGUAGUGUCAUAAGAUCAAAGAGGGUCCGGGUAGGGCGGUGAUAAUUACAGCACGGGCACCUGACGGGUCGGGAUUUGACUUCUAUUCGCGUGUUUUCGGCCCGAAGAUUAGGUUGAUGAGGAUCCGGUCUGUGGCAGCGCACAUUGCGCGUUAGCACUCUAUUGGCAUGAGAAGUUGGGGAAAUGUGAUUUUGUUGCAUAUCAGAUUCAAGCAGUGCUUCUAAGAUGGGGCGUCAAGAAUGAUAGGAAACCACAACAACUGAAAGCCGUCACUCAAGAAGCCAUGUCACCUAGGACCAUCUCUUUUGCUCAAGUCAUGUAACUAACAUCCUUAAUGUUAGUCGUAAAAACUGAAACCGUAACUAGAUGCUAACUUUUUUGGUUCAGCUAUGUAACUAAUUGUGUCGAUGUGACUGACUUUGUAAGAAUGGCAACCAUCUGAACAGAAAUAUAAAUCUAGACCCCGCCGCAUCGCGGCGGGUAACGCUUCUAGUUAA